AACUGCUUCCGGGUUGGCGGUGCGCUCCCUGAGGGCAGGGCUCUGGGCAGUCCCCGGCGUGCUUCAGGGCGCCUGUGCACCACGUGAGCCCUCGCUGACCGGGAAGUCCCUGUUCCUGGGUCCCGCCCGAGUUCGUCCUUGAGCCAGAUUAAACAAUUUACAGAUGACUGCACUCUGGAAAAAACAAAACAAAACAAGCAAAAACUUGACAUCUCCAGCAUCAAAUAAGUGAAGCAGGGAGAAGACACCUUCCCAGAGGGCUGUCGGGAAAAUGAAGUUGAAGUGAUGUUCAUUACCUGUUUGACACCAUGCCUGGCAUUGUCAGCAAGUGAUAAUUAGAAAUUUGAGUAAUCUUCAGAAGCCUCAGCAACACUAUUUUUCUCCCUGUUUAUUGAUGCAGAGACGGGAUCAUCCACCUGCAACUGAGCCUGAAAAAUGCCACAGUAGUCACGAGAGGCUGGAGACCUUGACUGGCAGGCAUACAAUCUGGAGGCGGAGAUCUUUCUAUACUGCCUGCCCUUGCCUUGAUGAGUGAAAUGAGCCAUAUGCAAUAUGGAGCUGCCCCCAUUGAUAACCAUUAAGGAUUUCAUAAUUUUGAUUGUCAAGAUCAAUAUUGAGAUAAAUAUAGACAUCUCUGCCAGUUUAUGCAAAUGGGUAAAGAAGCUCCCUUAACCCUGCCUCUUCUUGGAAAGACACACAGAGGAGACAAGAGGAGAAAAGAUUGAGAAUGACAGUAAUGAGAAAAGGAACAUGUUAUCAUGAACAAUGCUGAGAUUGCAGGAGGGGAGAUACAGAAGCCAGCGUGAACCUUACCAAAGAGGAAAUACCCUCCCAAAAUAAAAGGCAAUCGUGUGUGUCACAUGCGACCAAGGUUAUUACCAAUUUGUUUACAAUGAAUUAUAUGUCACUGGGGCUAAUGACAAGGGCUCCUUCUGUCCCCUCUCCUCUGCCCUCAGCCAUCAAGCAGGUCUGAACCAUCAUUAUAGUCCAUCAAACUGAAGUCACUGCAGGAACUUUGGGGUUGUUUGCUCUGCUGCUGGCCUCUUGGGACUCAAAUCAGCUCUUCUUCCUUGGCUUGACUAUGUUAUGUUCAUGACAUCAGUUAGAGUUUACAAUUUAGAUAAUGUGAUAAGUCAGUAUACUAAUGAGUGAAAUGUGUAUUUAGAAAGGAGAUGAUACCAUCAUUGCUUUCCAAGGAGAUGACUAUAUGCCUAGAGAAUGCAUGAGAAGUAUGCAUGAGAGAAUGCAUGAGAAGAGAUACAAAAAUAAGUAUUCCAAAGCCUAGAUUUUUUUAUUAGCAAUAAUCAAUCAUAAAUUACCAUGAAAAGGAUAUGAUGUGCAACAGUUAUUGUUCUGUGAACCAGACAGGUGGGUGUGGAUUCCAUCCAGAGGCAGGGAAAUAUAACAAACAUCCCUAAGCCUGCACCUCACUUGACCCCUGGGUCUCUAAACCAUUCUGUUUUUGUUCAGAGUUCCACAAGGUCAAUGUUGAAAGUAUUUCCACCAGCUUCUGGCCAUGGUAAUCACAGGGGGGAAUAAACCAAGCCAUAUUCCCCAUCAUCCUCAUCUUCUCCUGAGACAAAAGACAUUUUCCCAAAAUGUUAACUGGUUGUUUGCCUCCAGCAUAGACAACCUUUUACAUAUUUCCUCAAAGUGGUUUUAGAUGCCUGGACCAAUUGCCAUUUGGACAGAAUGAUGUUUUUAGUCAAAGCAUUGUACAUUGUAAUGGGGUGAAUGAUGACUCCCUAAAAGAUAGGCCCAUGUCCAAUUCUCUAGAAACUCUAAAUGUGGCCUUAUUUGGAAAAAGGACCUUUGCAGAUAUAAACUAGAGUCCUGAGAGAAGAUCAUUCUGUAUUAUAUAGGGGGGCUGUAUAUCUAAUGAACAGUGUCUUAGACACACAGAGAAGCAGAGGGAGAGAAGGAGGCAGUGUGAACCUGGGGGCAGAAAUUGGAGUGAUGUGACCACAAGCCAAGGGAUGCCACAGAAGCUUGCUCCUGGACAAAAAGCAUUCUCCUUUAGACCCUCUGAAGAAAGGUUGGCCCUGCUGACACUUUGAUUUUGAAUUUCUGGUCUCUAGAAUUAUGAGACAGUAAGUUUCUGUUGUUUUAUGCCAUCUAGUUUGUGGCACUUUGUCCCAGCAGCCUUGGGAAACUCAGGGGUUGUAGCAUUAUCAAGCCAGGGUUUCAGUCCCAAAUCUGAUAUGACCUUGGGAAAGUUGACAAACCUCUCUACAGUUUUCACCAUAAAAUAGGAAUUAAAAUAACAGUAUAGUCAUGCACUGCAUGAUACCAUUUCAGUCAUGAUGGCCUACAUAUCCAACAGGGGUCGGUCCCAUGAGAUUAUAAUACUGUGUUUUUACUGUACCUUUCUGUAUUUAGCUAUGUUUGGACACACAAAUGCUUACCAUUGUGCCAGAGUUGGCUACAGUAUUCAGCACAGUAACAUGCUUUAUAGGAUUGUAGCCUACGAGCAAUAGGCCAUACUACAUAGCCUAGGUGUGUAGUAGGCUAUGCCGUCAAGGCUUGUGUGAGUACGCCCUCUGAUGUUUGUCCAGUGAUAAAAUUACCUAAUGGCACAUAUAUCAGAACAUAUCUCUGUCAUUGGGUAGCAUAAGACUUUAUGUUCCUUAUGUCAUGAGAUUAUUUAAAUAAG
This is a non-coding RNA of Microcebus murinus (gray mouse lemur), 2653 nucleotides long. Lineage: Eukaryota; Metazoa; Chordata; Mammalia; Primates; Cheirogaleidae. The record is from RefSeq and is a predicted model, not a curated record.